CGUAUCCAACCUGCCCUUUACUUGGGGAUAACCCGUUGAAAGACGGACUAAUACCCAAUGAUAUCAUUGAUGACAUCUGAUUUGAAAUUAAAGAUUUAUCGGUAUAGGAUGGGGAUGCGUCUGAUUAGCUUGUUGGUGAGGUAACGGCUCACCAAGGCCACGAUCAGUAGGGGUUCUGAGAGGAAGGUCCCCCACAUUGGAACUGAGACACGGUCCAAACUCCUACGGGAGGCAGCAGUGAGGAAUAUUGGUCAAUGGACGAGAGUCUGAACCAGCCAAGUAGCGUGCAGGAUGACGGCCCUAUGGGUUGUAAACUGCUUUUGUUUGGGAAUAAUCGACAUUACGUGUAAUGUUUUGCAUGUACCAUUCGAAUAAGGGACCGGCUAAUUCCCGUGCCAGCAGCCGCGGUAAAU
RNAcentral lists this ribosomal RNA (413 nucleotides) under uncultured Prevotella sp. Its description in RNAcentral is "bacterial SSU rRNA". It matches the Rfam family "Bacterial small subunit ribosomal RNA", at positions 116 to 525 of the family's 1533-position model. Lineage: Bacteria; Pseudomonadati; Bacteroidota; Bacteroidia; Bacteroidales; Prevotellaceae. The record is from RNAcentral.